Molecule: ribosomal RNA, 422 nt
Filed under: uncultured bacterium
Lineage: Bacteria
Description: bacterial SSU rRNA
Rfam family: Bacterial small subunit ribosomal RNA
Source: RNAcentral
UGAGGAAUAUUGGGCAAUGCCCGCAAGGGUGACCCAGCAACGCCGCGUGGAGGAUGAAUGUCGUAAGAUUGUAAACUCCUGUUAGAGGGGAAGAAUAGUACCGGUUGGACCGGUAUAUGACUGUACCCUCAGAGAAAGCCCCGGCUAACUACGUGCCAGCAGCCGCGGUACUACGUAGGGGGCAAGCGUUGUCCGGAUUUACUGGGUGUAAAGGGCGCGCAGGCGGGAUAAAAAGUCAGUGGUGAAAUCCUACAGCUUAACUGUAGAACUGCCUUUGAUACUUUUAUUCUUGAGUUCGGGAGAGAGAGACGGAAUUCCAGGUGUAGUGGUGAAAUACGUAGAUAUCUGGAAGAACACCAGUUGCGAAGGCGGUCUCUUGGUCGGACACUGACGCUGAGGCGCGAAAGCGUGGGGAGCAAACA